GACGAACGCUGGCGGCGUGCUUAACACAUGCAAGUCGAACGGAAAGGCCCUGCUUUUGUGGGGUGCUCGAGUGGCGAACGGGUUAUUAACAUUUGAGUAACCUGCCCUUGACUUUGGGAUAACUUUAGGAAACUGGGGCUAAUACCGGAUAGUAGCUCCUGCUGCAUGGUGGGGGUUGGAAAGUUUCGGCGGUUGGGGAUGGACUCGCGGCUUAUCAGCUUGUUGGUGGGGUAGUGGCUUACCAAGGCUUUGACGGGUAGCCGGCCUGAGAGGGUGACCGGCCAGAUUGGGAGUGAGAUACGGCCCAGACUGAUACGGGAGGCAGGAGUGGGGAAUAUUGCACAAUGGGCGGAAGCAUGAUGCAGCAACGCAGCGUGCGGGAGGAAGGCCUUCGGGUGGGAAACAGCUUUCGCCUGUGACGAAGCGUGAGUGACGGUAAUGGGGAAAGAAGCACCGGCUAACUACGU
This 467-nucleotide ribosomal RNA is filed under the name uncultured bacterium. RNAcentral describes it as "partial 16S ribosomal RNA". It matches the Rfam family "Bacterial small subunit ribosomal RNA", at positions 28 to 506 of the family's 1533-position model. The record is from RNAcentral.